UACAGAGGUCUCAAGCGUUGUUCGGAUUCAUUGGGCGUAAAGGGUGCGUAGGCGGCGCGGUAAGUCGGGUGUGAAAUCUCGGAGCUUAACUCCGAAACUGCAUUCGAUACUGCCGUGCUUGAGGACUGGAGAGGAGACUGGAAUUUACGGUGUAGCGGUGAAAUUCGUAGAUAUCGAGAAGAACACCGGUGGCGAAGGCGGCCAUCUGGACGGUGACUGACGCUGAGACGCGAAAGCGUGGGGAGCAAACAGG
This 253-nucleotide ribosomal RNA is filed under the name uncultured bacterium. RNAcentral describes it as "partial 16S ribosomal RNA". It matches the Rfam family "Bacterial small subunit ribosomal RNA", at positions 524 to 776 of the family's 1533-position model. The record is from RNAcentral.